Long non-coding RNA from Polypterus senegalus (gray bichir), 292 nucleotides. RefSeq lists it as uncharacterized. The transcript has 3 exons. The record is from RefSeq and is a predicted model, not a curated record. Lineage: Eukaryota; Metazoa; Chordata; Cladistia; Polypteriformes; Polypteridae.
UUGCUUUUUAAUGUGUAGAGUUUGCAAUUUUAUUUUUGAUAUAAAAAAAGAAAUCAAUUGGUUCUUACUUAGUCAAUAUAGAGUAAUUUUUUUUUGGAGCAUAAUUUUAUAUAAAAAAACAUAUUCAAUGCUGGUUCCUGCAUUACACCUGGCUUCUGGGUUAGGAAAAUGUGCAUUUCAGAUACCAUAUUGUCAUCUUAAUUAGAAGAUGAAAAUGUUGAUUUGCUUGGCGUCUCAUCAAAUCUUUCAGUUGUCUGUGGUGGCGACCUGCGCCACCAUCACCCAAUCAAAG